Molecule: long non-coding RNA, 883 nt
Filed under: Manacus vitellinus (golden-collared manakin)
Lineage: Eukaryota; Metazoa; Chordata; Aves; Passeriformes; Pipridae
Description: lncRNA (ENSMVIG00005008560.1)
Source: RNAcentral
UCACAGGUCACUGCUGCUCUUUGAAUUAAACUCCUCCAAGUAAAAUACCCCCCGGAGAGGUUACCUCGGCAACAUCGUGUAAACUCAACAGCCCCGUGUCGUAGGAGCUGCCUGCAGAAAGAAGUGCCUGUGAGCUCCGCAGUCAGGAAAAGACGCCGAAAAUCGAAUCCAAAAGUGUGUAAUCUAUGUUGAAUUCCUCGCUGGCCAGCAAAGGAAGGCGGCUGUGAGCUGAAAAUGCUUUGUAACUUCUCUUUAGGUUGCUGUGCCUCUUUCGCUCUUUGCUACUGAAGCACCAGGUUUCUGGACCUUAAUACAUUUAAGGACAGUAUGUCUGACAACCAACAAAAUAAGAGGAGAAGCAAAAAAGGUUGUGGAAGUGUUGCUGCUCUUCAGGAUGCAGAUAAGACAAUGGAAGAAAUGCAUCAGUCAUACAAAGCUCUAGGAAAAAACAGGUUAAUCAUAUUACUGUUUAAUUUGCAGUUGAGUGUGCACAAAUGAAGACAAAGCAGGUAGUAGUCUGUGAGUAAGGAAAUAUUUCUUAAGUGCCAGACAUUAUAUUCAGCUUUAUAUGUUGUGUGGUGUUUAUCUCUUCCCAAUGGCAAUUGUUGGCCACUGCUGGAGGCAGGAUAUUGCAUUAGAUGGACAAAUUAUUUGGUAGAAUAUGGAAAAAUAUGGGAUAUGGUUUUACAUCAGAAUUUGACUUAUUAAAACCAGACAAUUGCAUACAGCUUUAAGAUAAACUUAGGCUGUAUUUUUGUACCUCUUUUCAGCAACAAUAUUUAUCUUUCUCCAUAUUUUUCAUUCUUCAGAAAACAGGUGGCAGGAAUCUGAGGCUUGUCUGCACAGCCUCUCUUCUUUCAGGCAGGCCAGAGCAUAUUUUUUA